UACAGAGGGUGCGAGCGUUAAUCGGAAUUACUGGGCGUAAAGCGUGCGUAGACGGUAGCGUAAGUCAGAUGUGAAAGCCCCGGGCUCAACCUGGGAAUUGCAUUUGAGACUGCUCUGCUCGGGUGCGGAAGAGGGAAGCGGAAUUUCCGGUGUAGCGGUGAAAUGCGUAGAUAUCGGAAGGAACACCAGUGGCGAAAGCGGCUUCCUGGUCCGACACCGACGUUCAGGCACGAAAGCGUGGGGAGCAAAC
Molecule: ribosomal RNA, 250 nt
Filed under: uncultured bacterium
Lineage: Bacteria
Description: partial 16S ribosomal RNA
Rfam family: Bacterial small subunit ribosomal RNA
Source: RNAcentral